CCAGUUCGGAGCCUUCUCUCCUCCUCCCUGAAGGCUCUGACCGCGGCUCGCUCUCUCCUCCUCCCUGAGCGGGUCGCACCUUGAAGAAGCGGCGGCGUCCAUCCUCCUCCCGGGCGUCGUCGCCUCU
RNAcentral lists this small RNA (127 nucleotides) under Oceanicola granulosus HTCC2516. RNAcentral's name for it is "Alphaproteobacterial ar14". It matches the Rfam family "Alphaproteobacterial ar14". Rfam says of the family: Smr14C2 was renamed NfeR1 (Nodule Formation Efficiency RNA) highly expressed in salt stress and during the symbiotic interaction on legume roots. The record is from Rfam by way of RNAcentral. Lineage: Bacteria; Pseudomonadati; Pseudomonadota; Alphaproteobacteria; Rhodobacterales; Roseobacteraceae.